Molecule: long non-coding RNA, 4965 nt
Organism: Hemibagrus wyckioides
Lineage: Eukaryota; Metazoa; Chordata; Actinopteri; Siluriformes; Bagridae
Exons: 6
Source: RefSeq, a predicted model, not a curated record
UCAAAGACGAGCUCCCGAGACAAAGCGCAGAACCAAAACAUACAAACACAGAUGUUACUCUUUCCUGGAGUUCGCUUACCAUUUUUACCUCCGCUAUUUUCAUUUACUUCACUCUUUAUAUUUACCUCGCUCUUUACAUUUACCUCGCUCUUUACAUUUUCUUCACUGUUUAUAAUGGCUAGCCAAGGAACUGAAGAGGAAGAGGCGGCUGCACAAUCCUAAAAUCGCGGAGGCGGUCUGUCCGCUACACAACUCUGAGGUAAACUGUAGGCGCUAUGACCCGGAGCAAGGAUUAAGCUUGCCAUAUAAUGAGACGGUCACCUCGUUUUAGCGGAGCACUGUCCAUAAGCCUGGAAUUGCGUGAUGAAUGUGUAACCCUUGACACUUUUAUCAUAUUCAAGACAGCACUGCUUUAAUUUGGUAUUGUCCCUUUAAGAGGGCAGGGUAAUGUGUGCACGGGGAGAGUGCGCGGCAAUACCAUGUUAAGUUAUUGUGAUGAGAGACUAUGCACAGCAUGCAAACUUUUUUCCCCUCGAAUAAAGGUUUAGUAUGUUGUUGUGAAGAAUGUUCUUUGAAUAUAUGCUUUAUUGUUUCAUACACAAGCUGAGUGAGAGUUGCCGAGGUGAAGAAAUACUUUUCUUUCUGUGUUUUUUUGUAUUUCAAGACAUUCUGGUGAGUCAAUUCUGCUUAUAUAUAUUUUUGUUGUCAUUGUAGUAUUAUCUGAAAAAAAUACCAGUCAGAAUGUCAUUGUAUUGAAGGGAAUGCACCCAAAUUAAUGUUUAACUGUGAUGUAAAGUUUAUAAGAGAGUGGCUAAGUGCAACUAUAUGAUGCUAGCUUUGCUAAUCAUGGUGAGCAUGCGGUGUCCGAUGCCCCAUAUGAAACAUAUUUUUUCUGUAAUCUUUAAUCGCAUGCUUACUGUAAGCGAUUAAGGUGUAAUUACUUUUGUUUAUUUGAUUUAUGUAUUUUGGGUUAAAUGUUUUGUCACAGUGAAAGAAAGGGUUUAGGGCAGAUUUAUUUUCCAAACUUCAUUUUGUAUUGUACAAUGGGAUAAAAUGCAUUCAAACCAUACAAAAUGCCAAAAUACAUGUGAUCAUUCUCAUUAGGAAUGGUUUAAAGGUUCAGAUGUUGUUGAUGUUAUUAAUUUGAGAUGUAUAAUUGUUGCAGAGUGUUUUUUUUUCCUUGGCCUAUUCACUGGAUGAUGCAAUUGGGACUUGAGUUCUCUGAGUGGUUUCUCCAGGAGCGAGGUUCCUUCCAGCAGACAUCUUAGCAUCACAUCAACUCUUCAGCUCUUCAUCUCAUCUUCAUCUUUCAACUCUUCAGUUCUUCACUCAUCCAUAGUACACUCAUCAUCACUUUAUCUUUGAUAAGUUGAAAGUCUUUCCUAAGGGUGCGGUAGGACUGAGACGUUGCUUUACACACAUUACACGGAACUGUUUUUUAAAAGAACUCUGAAUUUUUUCCGGACUUCCAUUUCUUUUGGUUACAGCUAUAUUUUACAUUUGGUUACAGCUGUAUGGUUGCAGCUGAAUUGGUUCAUUAAUUUCCAAGAGUAACCAUUGCUGGGGAUUGUGACCAUUGUUGUGGUUGUUUAUCACACUCAUUUUCUUUUUUUUCCUUCAAAGUGCCAGGGAACAAAAGUAUUUAAUUUACCUGCUCAAAAUACACUUUCCUGGUAAACAUAAUUUUUUCAUGUGCUACUUUAACUUUUGUUUCCUUUUCUCUCCCUUACUCCUGACAUUCAUUUUUUUCCUCAAUUAACAUCUUUGUGGGUGAACUACAGGCUGAAACCAAGCUCCUUAGAUGAACCUAGACAACCUUAGAUGAACCUAGAUCAUACAGCCCUGACCUAGUUAUUAAAGCUGGGGUUACAAAGGCCUGGAUAAAAAUGACUUUGUUGGACCUGGUGCUACAUACACAUACAACAUAGAGUUCAAACACAAGAACAACACAGAGCUAGGACCGAAAGUUCGUCCAAGCCACCUGCCUGUAAGACAUAUUACGAAACGGUGCAUAGAAAUUUCCGGUACAGCCAGCCAGAGCUAGCAAAUGUGGCUACAGCUAAUAAGACCUCAGCCCGGAGUUGCCAGAGGAGGAAGUGGCUCCUUACACCUCCCUCCCUAUACACCCCCUGGUACGAUAACGACCGUUUCUGUCACUCGCAAACAGGAACUUCCCAGGCUGUGAAUUGUCGAUAACUGCCAGUGAUUAGAGAGGUCAUCAGGCAUUCACGGGGACGAAAAUCUUACUUCCAGUGUCCACCACUGGGUUCGGGGAUUGACGCCACGACAGGCACCAGAGACCUUACGGCCACAACUCCUGUUAGCUGCGUCAACAAUGGAGGAGGAGAACAUGGUCCACUCAGACUCAAUGUCCCCAACCUCCCACGGAAUCUUGUCGAAACGCUCCCGGAGGUGGGAGUUGAAGACCUCCCUAACAGAGGGUUCAGCCAGACGUUCCCAACAGACCCCCACAAUACAUUUGGGUCUGCCAAGUCUGUCUGGCAUCCUCCUCCACAAGCAGAUCCAACUCACCACCAGGUGGUGAUCAGUUGACAGCUCAGCCCCUCUUUUCACCCGAGUGUCCAAGACAUAUGGCCGAAGGUCAGAUGACAGGACCACCAAGUCGAUCAUCGACCUCUGGCCUAAGGUGUCCUGGUACCACGUGUACUGAUGGGCACCCUUAUGCUUGAACAUGGUGUUCGUUAUGGACAAACUGUGACUAGCACAGAAGUCCAAUAACGGAACACCACUCGAGUUCAGAUUGGGGGGGCCGUUCCUCCCAAUCACACCCCUCCAGGUAACACUGUUGUUGCCCACAUGGGUGUUUAAGUCCCCCAGUAUAACUAUGGAGUCCCCAUUCGGGGCACCUUCCAGCACGCCUCAUAGGGUCUCCAAAAAGGUUGGGUACUCCACACUGCUGUUCUCCCCGUAAGCUGAAACAACAGUGAGACUAGAAACAUCUAGGCCUCCACCCAUGACUGCUACCCAAAACGCAUCAAACCAGCCCCUUAUGCUCCUUCCUGCGGGUGGUGGGCCUACGGGAAGACGGGCCUACGUCGCUCUUUCGGGCUGUGCCCGGCCGAGGCCCAUAGGCACAGACUUGGCCACCAGACGCUCACCUGUGUGCCCCAGCCCUGGCUCCAGGUUGGGGCCCCGGUAACACCAAUCCGGGCGACGUAACGGUCCUUGCUUUCUUUUUUUCCAUGAGGGGAUUUGAACCGCUCUUAGUCUGACCCGUCACCUAGGACCCGUUUGCCUUGGGAGACCCUACCAGGAGCACAUGGCUCCUAGGCUCAUUCGGGUACUCAAACACCUCCACCACAAUAAGGUGGUAUAAUGCUAAUGUCUAUGUUAAUGCUAAUGUCUAUGUUAAUGCUAAAGUUAAGGCUAAUGCUAAUGUUAGAUAGUGUUAUUGCUAAUGUUAAUGCUUCAAAAACCUCAGCACAAUGAGGGGAAAGCAGUGACGUGUAUCCUGGUGACAUAUCCACCUGCGCCGGGGAUGAGUUUUGCCACAUUCAGGAAAUGUACAUGUCUAGUUGUUGUUGUUAUUAUUAUUAUUAUUAAUAUUAUUGUUAUUGUUAUUAUUAUUAUUAUUAUUAUUAUUGUUAUUUUGUAUUUUUUAAUGUUUUAUAUUUUAGUGAAUAUUUUAUACAUUAGUAUUAAACCAGUUAAUUUAAAUGGGCAUCUUUUAACACGGUGCACUGUAGAAUUAAUGAGUAAGUUAGUCUAAAUGUUUUGAUAGUUCUCAAUCUCCCUCUACUGAUUCCAAUCUAAAUUUAUUAAAUAAGUAAGUAAACGUAAGUAGGUAGUUUAUUUAAAUGUAGCUUCAAGAGCAUUGGCUAAUGUAGAAAUCAUGAGAGAGAGAGAGAGAGAGAGAGAGAGAGAGAGAGAAAGUUUCAGUGUUCUUACUGCGAAACAUCUCUCCCUAUUGAACCAAAACUGCGCUGAUGCUCAGAGAUUUGCAAAAGAACCAGAAGAUAUUACUCAAACCCCAGCAACUUUCAUAAUCUAUAUAUAAUAAUCAGUUUAAUUCAGUGAUUAGCCAAAUGGAGCUUUUUAUAAGAAUGAUUAAAUUGUAAUGAAAUCUUGUCUAUUAACACCACAGGACAACAGAAUCACCUGUCCAGCAACUUUAAGUGUUUUCUCUGCUGUAACACUUCCUUCCUUCCUUCUGUCCGUCCGUCCGUUCGUCCGUCCUUACUUUGCAUUGACUGCAUAUUCACUGUGUUGAUACCUACCCAGAGGCCUUGUGGAUAUUUCCAGCAUUUCCAUUAACUUACAGUAAAGCACUGGUAUUUGUAUCAACAUUUGUCUUUUGAAAACUUUAUCUGUUCAUUCUGAAUAAUGAAUUCAUAUUGCUUUUCUACUCUAGACAGAUGUGCUUUUUGUGGUUCUUAAGUUUAGGAGACAUCCUAACUAAGGAAAUGUUUUCAAUAAUAGCUAUUUAGAAUAUUCCAACAGCCACUGUCUAAACACUGUCUAAACACUGCUGUAUCUGAGGCUUUAGUAAUGUGUUUGUGUGAAUAUGGAGCACUGUGUCGACUGGCUGCACAGUAAUAAACAGCAGAGUCUGACAGGUGGAGUUUAGAGAUGCUUAGACUUCCCUCAGUCGUGCUUUUUCUACUCUGUUUGAACCGAUCUUUAAAUCCUUCCUCGUAGUUUGGAUUGCCCGAUGGUCCAGCAGUAUAUCCAAUCAGGGCCAUAACUGUGCUACUUUUUUUGCUGAUACCAUAACAUUACUAGUAAGGAAUUGUCAUCAUGACUGCACUGGAUUGUUACUUCUUCUAUAUCAUUGACUAAUAGCGAUGAGGUCAUAUGAACUUUGACGCAGUUUGUCAUUCCUGAUGAAAAAACAUCAAUAUUUUAAUUCUGAAUUAAAUACAUAAGUCAGUAUAAUGCAACAUUGAAAAAAAGUCUCACCAAAACACAAAAUGAAGAACACAAAAAGUUCACAUGAACCAUCCA